UGCAAGUCGAACGGCAGCGCGGGGCAACCUGGCGGCGAGUGGCGAACGGGCGAGUAAUAUAUCGGAACGUACCCUGGAGUGGGGGAUAACGUAGCGAAAGUUACGCUAAUACCGCAUACGAUCUAAGGAUGAAAGUGGGGGCUCGCAAGACCUCAUGCUCCUGGAGCGGCCGAUAUCUGAUUAGCUAGUUGGUAGGGUAAAAGCCUACCAAGGCAUCGAUCAGUAGCUGGUCUGAGAGGACGACCAGCCACACUGGAACUGAGACACGGUCCAGACUCCUACGGGAGGCAGCAGUGGGGAAUUUUGGACAAUGGGCGCAAGCCUGAUCCAGCAAUGCCGCGUGAGUGAAGAAGGCCUUCGGGUWGUAAAGCUCUUUUGUCAGGGAAGAAAAGGGUCUGGCUAAUAUCUAGGCCUCAUGACGGUACCUGAAGAAUAAGCACCGGCUAACUACGUGCCAGCAGCCGCGGUAAUACGUAGGGUGCAAGCGUUAAUCGGAAUUACUGGGCGUAAAGCGUGCGCAGGCGGUUUUGUAAGACUGUCGUGAAAUCCCCGGGCUCAACCUGGGAAUGGCGAUGGUGACUGCAAGGCUAGAGUUUGGCAGAGGGGGGUAGAAUUCCACGUGUAGCAGUGAAAUGCGUAGAUAUGUGGAGGAACACCGAUGGCGAAGGCAGCCCCCUGGGUCAAAACUGACGCUCAUGCACGAAAGCGUGGGGAGCAAACAGGAUUAGAUACCCUGGUAGUCCACGCCCUAAACGAUGUCUACUAGUUGUCGGGUCUUAAUUGACUUGGUAACGCAGCUAACGC
RNAcentral lists this ribosomal RNA (804 nucleotides) under uncultured bacterium. Its description in RNAcentral is "bacterial SSU rRNA". It matches the Rfam family "Bacterial small subunit ribosomal RNA", at positions 56 to 858 of the family's 1533-position model. The record is from RNAcentral.